CCUACGGGAGGCAGCAGUGGGGAAUUUUGGACAAUGGGGGCAACCCUGAUCCAGCCAUGCCGCGUGAGUGAAGAAGGCCUUCGGGUUGUAAAGCUCUUUCGGCCGGAACGAAAUCGCGCACGUGAAUAACGUGCGUGGAUGACGGUACCGGAGUAAGAAGCACCGGCUAACUACGUGCCAGCAGCCGCGGUAAUACGUAGGGUGCGAGCGUUAAUCGGAAUUACUGGGCGUAAAGCGUGCGCAGGCGGUUCGCUAAGUCAGACGUGAAAGCCCCGGGCUUAACCUGGGAACGGCGUUUGAAACUGGCGGGCUCGAGUACGGCAGAGGGGGGUGGAAUUCCACGUGUAGCAGUGAAAUGCGUAGAUAUGUGGAGGAACACCGAUGGCGAAGGCAGCCCCCUGGGCCGAUACUGACGCUCAUGCACGAAAGCGUGGGGAGCAAACAGGAUUAGAUACCCUGGUAGUCCACGCCCUAAACUAUGUCAACUAGUUGUCGGGGAAGCAAUUCCUGGUAACGCAGCUAACGCGUGAAGUUGACCGCCUGGGGGAGGUACGGUCGCGAGAGUUAAACGUUAAAGGUAAAGUUAGUACGGCGUUGUAGACGUUGCCGACGGACGACGACGAGGGAGGAGG
RNAcentral lists this ribosomal RNA (632 nucleotides) under uncultured bacterium. Its description in RNAcentral is "bacterial SSU rRNA". The stretch from base 1 to 541 matches the Rfam family "Bacterial small subunit ribosomal RNA", at positions 338 to 873 of the family's 1533-position model. The record is from RNAcentral.